GAUGAACGCUGGCGGCGUGCCUAAUACAUGCAAGUCGAGCGAACAGACGAGGAGCUUGCUCCUUUGACGUUAGCGGCGGACGGGUGAGUAACACGUGGGUAACCUACCUAUAAGACUGGGAUAACUUCGGGAAACCGGAGCUAAUACCGGAUAAUAUUUCGAACCGCAUGGUUCGAUAGUGAAAGAUGGCUUUGCUAUCACUUAUAGAUGGACCUGCGCCGUAUUAGCUAGUUGGUAAGGUAACGGCUUACCAAGGCAACGAUACGUAGCCGACCUGAGAGGGUGAUCGGCCACACUGGAACUGAGACACGGUCCAGACUCCUACGGGAGGCAGCAGUAGGGAAUCUUCCGCAAUGGGCGAAAGCCUGACGGAGCAACGCCGCGUGAGUGAUGAAGGUCUUUGGAUCGUAAAACUCUGUUAUUAGGGAAGAACAAACGUGUAAGUAACUGUGCACGUCUUGACGGUACCUAAUCAGAAAGCCACGGCUAACUACGUG
This 497-nucleotide ribosomal RNA is filed under the name uncultured bacterium. RNAcentral describes it as "partial 16S ribosomal RNA". It matches the Rfam family "Bacterial small subunit ribosomal RNA", at positions 28 to 507 of the family's 1533-position model. The record is from RNAcentral.